GGACGAACGCUGGCGGCGUGCUUAACACAUGCAAGUCGAGCGGUAAGGCCUUUCGGGGUACACGAGCGGCGAACGGGUGAGUAACACGUGGGUGAUCUGCCCUGCACUUCGGGAUAAGCCUGGGAAACUGGGUCUAAUACCGGAUAUGACCUCAUAUCGCAUGGUGUGUGGUGGAAAGAUUUAUCGGUGCAGGAUGGGCCCGCGGCCUAUCAGCUUGUUGGUGGGGUAAUGGCCUACCAAGGCGACGACGGGUAGCCGACCUGAGAGGGUGACCGGCCACACUGGGACUGAGACACGGCCCAGACUCCUACGGGAGGCAGCAGUGGGGAAUAUUGCACAAUGGGCGAAAGCCUGAUGCAGCGACGCCGCGUGAGGGAUGACGGCCUUCGGGUUGUAAACCUCUUUCAGCAGGGACGAAGCGCAAGUGACGGUACCUGCAGAAGAAGCACCGGCUAACUACGUGCCAGCAGCCGCGGUAAUACGUAGGGUGCAAGCGUUGUCCGGAAUUACUGGGCGUAAAGAGUUCGUAGGCGGUUUGUCGCGUCGUUUGUGAAAACCAGCAGCUCAACUGCUGGCUUGCAGGCGAUACGGGCAGACUUGAGUACUGCAGGGGAGACUGGAAUUCCUGGUGUAGCGGUGAAAUGCGCAGAUAUCAGGAGGAACACCGGUGGCGAAGGCGGGUCUCUGGGCAGUAACUGACGCUGAGGAACGAAAGCGUGGGUAGCGAACAGGAUUAGAUACCCUGGUAGUCCACGCCGUAAACGGUGGGCGCUAGGUGUGGGUUCCUUCCACGGAAUCCGUGCCGUAGCUAACGCAUAAGCGCCCCGCCUGGAGACCCCGACGCA
RNAcentral lists this ribosomal RNA (845 nucleotides) under Rhodococcus sp. M_Sw_oHS_10/11_2_1(2). RNAcentral describes it as "bacterial SSU rRNA". It matches the Rfam family "Bacterial small subunit ribosomal RNA", at positions 27 to 890 of the family's 1533-position model. The record is from RNAcentral. Lineage: Bacteria; Bacillati; Actinomycetota; Actinomycetes; Mycobacteriales; Nocardiaceae.